RNAcentral lists this long non-coding RNA (281 nucleotides) under Dasypus novemcinctus (nine-banded armadillo). RNAcentral describes it as "lncRNA (ENSDNOG00000049873.1)". The record is from RNAcentral. Lineage: Eukaryota; Metazoa; Chordata; Mammalia; Cingulata; Dasypodidae.
GGGUUGGGGGGCAAUAUAUUGUCCUUUAAGGUUUCUGACCCAAGAUUCUCUCCCUUUCCCUCUCACAGUUGAUUCCCCAGAUCUCCUCCUUGGCAUGGUACACAACUGUGAUACCCCUGAUGGUGGUGCUGUCCAUGACAGGAGUGAAAGAUGCCGUCGAUGACUUGAAAAGGCACCAAAGUGACAAAAAAGUCAACAACCGUCCUGUUCUGAUACUGGUGAAUGGCAAGUAAGUCCUUCUAGGGAAGCCAAUUUAGGUAGGACCUUCUCUUGGAGAGGGC